RNAcentral lists this ribosomal RNA (805 nucleotides) under uncultured bacterium. Its description in RNAcentral is "bacterial SSU rRNA". It matches the Rfam family "Bacterial small subunit ribosomal RNA", at positions 10 to 808 of the family's 1533-position model. The record is from RNAcentral.
AGUUUGAUCCUGGCUCAGGAUGAACGCCCUUUGCGUGCUUAACACAUGCAAGUCGAACGGGCUCAUAUUGAAACCUAGUGAUUUAUGAGUUAGUGGCGGACGGGUGAGUAACGCGUGGAAAACCUGCCGUAUACUGGGGGAUAACACUUAGAAAUAGGUGCUAAUACCGCAUAAGCGCACAGCUUCGCAUGAAGUGGUGUGAAAAACUCUGGUGGUAUACGAUGGUUCCGCGUCUGAUUAGCUUGUUGGUGGGGUAAUGGCUCACCAAGGCGACGAUCAGUAGCCGGCCUGAGAGGGUGAACGGCCACAUUGGGACUGAGACACGGCCCAAACUCCUACGGGAGGCAGCAGUGGGGAAUAUUGCACAAUGGGGGAAACCCUGAUGCAGCGACGCCGCGUGAGUGAAGAAGUAUUUCGGUAUGUAAAGCUCUAUCAGCAGGGAAGAAAUAGCGACCUUUGGGUCGCCAGACGGUACCUGAUUAAGAAGCCCCGGCUAACUACGUGCCAGCAGCCGCGGUAAUACGUAGGGGGCAAGCGUUAUCCGGAUUUACUGGGUGUAAAGGGAGCGUAGACGGCAGCACAAGUCUGAAGUGAAAUGCCGGGGCUUAACCCCGGAACUGCUUUGGAAACUGUGCAGCUAGAGUGCAGGAGAGGUAAGUGGAAUUCCUAGUGUAGCGGUGAAAUGCGUAGAUAUUAGGAGGAACACCAGUGGCGAAGGCGGCUUACUGGACUGUAACUGACGUUGAGGCUCGAAAGCGUGGGGAGCAAACAAGAUUAGAUACCCUGGUAGUCCACGCUGUAAACG